GAUGAACGCUGGCGGCGUGCUUAACACAUGCAAGUCGAACGAAGCACUUUAUUUGAUUUCCUUCGGGACUGAUUAUUUUGUGACUGAUUGGCGGACGGGUGAGUAACGCGUGGGUAACCUGCCUUGUACAGGGGGAUAACAGUUGGAAACGGCUGCUAAUACCGCAUAAGCGCACAGCAUCGCAUGAUGCAGUGUGAAAAACUCCGGUGGUAUAAGAUGGACCCGCGUUGGAUUAGCUAGUUGGUGAGGUAACGGCCCACCAAGGCGACGAUCCAUAGCCGACCAGGGAGGAUGACCGGCCACAUUGGGACUGCGGCACGGCCAGAACUCCGACGGGAGGCAGCAGUAGGGACUAUUGCCCAAUGGACGACAGCCGGAUGCAGCGACGCCGCGUGAGCGAAGAAGUAUUUCGGUAUGUAGAGCUCUCUCAGAAGGGAAGAUAAUGACGGUACCUGACUAAGAAGCACCGGCUAAAUACGUG
This 481-nucleotide ribosomal RNA is filed under the name uncultured bacterium. Its description in RNAcentral is "partial 16S ribosomal RNA". It matches the Rfam family "Bacterial small subunit ribosomal RNA", at positions 28 to 507 of the family's 1533-position model. The record is from RNAcentral.